This 460-nucleotide ribosomal RNA is filed under the name uncultured bacterium. RNAcentral's name for it is "partial 16S ribosomal RNA". It matches the Rfam family "Bacterial small subunit ribosomal RNA", at positions 338 to 795 of the family's 1533-position model. The record is from RNAcentral.
CCUACGGGAGGCAGCAGUGAGGAAUAUUGGUCAAUGGGCGGAAGCCUGAACCAGCCAAGUAGCGUGCAGGAUGACGGCCCUACGGGUUGUAAACUGCUUUUAUACGGGAAUAACGCGCCUUACGUGUAGGGCUUUGCAUGUACCGUAUGAAUAAGGACCGGCUAAUUCCAUGCCAGCAGCCGCGGUAAUACGGAAGGUCCGGGCGUUAUCCGGAUUUAUUGGGUUUAAAGGGAGCGUAGGCCGCAUGUCAAGCGUGCUGUGAAAUGUCCGGGCUCAACCCGGGCCUUGCAGCGCGAACUGGCGUACUUGAGUCCGCGGAAAGCAGGCGGAAUUCGUCGUGUAGCGGUGAAAUGCUUAGAUAUGACGAAGAACCCCGAUUGCGAAGGCAGCUUGCUGCAGCGGAACUGACGCUGAUGCUCGAAAGCGCGGGUAUCGAACAGGAUUAGAUACCCGAGUAGUC